UCCGUAGGCGGGCUAAUAAGUCAGGGGUGAAAUCCCACAGCUCAACUGUGGAACUGCCUUUGAUACUGAUAGUCUCGAGUUAUAUGGAAGUAGAUAGAAUGUGUAGUGUAGCGGUGAAAUGCAUAGAGAUUACACAGAAUACCGAUUGCGAAGGCAGUCUACUACGUAUAUACUGACGCUAAUGGACGAAAGCGUGGGGAGCGAACAGGAUUAGAUACCCUGGUAGUCC
RNAcentral lists this ribosomal RNA (229 nucleotides) under uncultured bacterium. RNAcentral describes it as "partial 16S ribosomal RNA". It matches the Rfam family "Bacterial small subunit ribosomal RNA", at positions 568 to 796 of the family's 1533-position model. The record is from RNAcentral.